UAAAGAAUUUCGGUAUGGGAUGGGGAUGCGUUCCAUUAGUUAGUUGGCGGGGUAACGGCCCACCAAGACGACGAUGGAUAGGGGUUCUGAGAGGAAGGUCCCCCACAUUGGAACUGAGACACGGUCCAAACUCCUACGGGAGGCAGCAGUGAGGAAUAUUGGUCAAUGGACGAGAGUCUGAACCAGCCAAGUAGCGUGAAGGAUGACUGCCCUAUGGGUUGUAAACUUCUUUUAUAUGGGAAUAAAAUGUUCCACGUGUGGGAUUUUGUAUGUACCAUAUGAAUAAGGAUCGGCUAACUCCGUGCCAGCAGCCGCGGUAAUACGGAGGAUCCGAGCGCUAUCCGGAUUUAUUGGGUUUAAAGGGAGCGUAGGUGAAUUGUUAAGUCAGUUGUGAAAGUUUGCGGCUCAACCGUAAAAUUGCAGUUGAAACUGGCAGUCUUGAGUACAGUAGAGGUGGGCGGAAUUCGUGGUGUAGCGGUGAAAUGCUUAGAUAUCACGAAGAACUCCGAUUGCGAAGGCAGCUCACUGGACUGCAACUGACACUGAGGCUCGAAAGUGUGGGUAUCAAACAGGAUUAGAUACCCUGGUAGUCCACACAGUAAACGAUGAAUACUCGCUGUUUGCGAUAUACAGCAA
This 636-nucleotide ribosomal RNA is filed under the name uncultured bacterium. RNAcentral's name for it is "bacterial SSU rRNA". It matches the Rfam family "Bacterial small subunit ribosomal RNA", at positions 202 to 842 of the family's 1533-position model. The record is from RNAcentral.